GAUGAAGAACGUAGCGAAAUGCGAUAAGUAAUGUGAAUUGCAGAAUUCAGUGAAUCAUCGAAUCUUUGAACGCACAUUGCGCCCGCCAGUAUUCUGGCGGGCAUGCCUGUUCGAGCGUCAUUACAACCCUCAGGCCCCCGGGCCUGGCGUUGGGGAUCGGCGGAAGCCCCCUGUGGGCACACGCCGUCCCUCAAAUACAGUGGCGGUCCCGCCGCAGCUUCCAUUGCGUAGUAGCUAACACCUCGCAACUGGAGAGCGGCGCGGCCAUGCCGUAAAACACCCAACUUCUCAAGGUUGACCUCGGAUCAGGUAGGAAUACCCGCUGAACUUAAGCAUAUCAAUAAGCGGAGGA
RNAcentral lists this unclassified non-coding RNA (352 nucleotides) under soil metagenome. RNAcentral's name for it is "partial contains 5.8S ribosomal RNA, internal transcribed spacer 2, and large subunit ribosomal RNA". The stretch from base 1 to 120 matches the Rfam family "5.8S ribosomal RNA", at positions 35 to 154 of the family's 154-position model. The record is from RNAcentral.